UGAUGUGUGUGCUCAUAUGAAUGCUCACAAGAAGAUCAAAGUUGAAUGUAUGGGUGAAGAAGAAGCAUGGCAUCUUUUCAAGCAGUUUGCAAAUGAAAAGAUCAUUAAUUCCAAUGCUAUUAUUGAACGACUAGCAAGGAAAGUUAUGAAGAAGUGCUCAGGUUUACCACUUGCUCUUAAAGUCAUUGGUCGAGCCACGUCGAAUAUGAAGACACCUGAACAGUGGCGUCACAUGCUGAGGUCGUUAAUCAAGACUGUUAUUGGUAUCGAUGAAUCAUUGUUUCACAACUUAAAGGUCAGUUAUGAUAAUUUGGCUAGUGAUACUCUCCAACAAUGUUUCUUGUGUUGUGCUCAAUGGCCUAAAGAUGCAAACAUUCCAGUCCCUUAUCUCAUAGAGCGUUGGAUUGGGUGUGGAUUGAUCAGUGACUUUGGAAACAUGGGGGAAGCCUUUGACGAGGGAUAUUCUCUCAUUGCAAAAUUAAAUGAAGCAUGUUUGUUGGAAUCACUGUUUAAUGAAAUCCAGAAUGAAGCGUGUGUCAAAUUACAUGAUGUGAUUCACGAUAUGGCACUAUGGAUUGUGUCCGAGUGUGGGAAGAAAAAGAACAAAUGGAUUCUUGAUGGAAGUGACGAUCAUUUAAGACAAUUUUUAAAGUGUGAAGUAGGCAACUGGAAGGAGACAGAACUAAUAUUGUUCAAACAUCUUGUCAUUUACGAGUAUCUCUUGAAAUUAUUAAGUGAUCAAAAUAUUGACGAAAAGGGCCAAGUUUCUGUUGCAGCAACUUCUCCUAGAUAUCCUAAUCUCCAGAGUUUAUCUAUGGCUGGAUAUCCUGAACGUGAAAUAGGGGCCGAGGUGGUUAUAAACUUUUUCCCUCAUAUGCCAUCUCUCACACAUUUGGACUUAUCUGAUGCACCUAUCAAGGGUCUUUCAAAAGAAAUUCGAGUUCUAGUUAAUCUUCAAUACCUCAACAUCAGCGGCACAAGCAUUCGGUCACUUCCACCUGAACUAGAAGAGCUGAAGCAAUUAAAAUACUUCUUCUUCAGAAGUCCAUAUUUUGAAAUUAAAGCUGAUGGGUUGUCUGUAUUAUCAAGGUUGCCCGAGUUACAAGUGCUUGAUCUUUAUAAAAAUACUUGUUUAGAAGCAGGUGACUUGAAGAUGUUGAUGGAUAGGAAGAGGAUUAAAGCGAUCAAUAUGGUUGUGAAAUCAGUUAAGAUUCUUCGACUUCUCAAAGAUUUGCCGACUUGGCAAAUAAAAUUGAAAAACAUACAUAAUAUACCUACCCUCCAGCUUUGUCAUGACUUGAGUUACAAACGUGAUGGUGAGGGUUUGAUGAGGUUAAAAUUCAGUCAUUGUCGCUUUAAGGAGUUGUCGAUAAAUGGCAGUGGGGUCAGUCUAAAGCAUCUCGAAUUGAGAUAUCUUGCAAAGCUCAAGCAAAUCACUCGGCCAGCAGAAGCAUUUCGUCGUGGAUGUUUCCCGAAGUUGAUAGAUGUUUACAUUUCUCAUUGUACAUCUCUAAGGAGUCUUUCGUGGGUUUUGCAUCUCCCAUGCCUUGAGAGAUUAGCUGUAGAAAGCUGUUUAGCAAUGGAGAAAUUGAUUGACCCUGCAGAGAUGCAACAAGCUUCAUCAGGCCUUCCCACCUUUCCUAACCUACAAUCCUUGUUAUUAGAGAGCAUGCCCAACUUAGUGAGCUUCAGCACAUGUCUAUUGGAUUUUCCUAUUUUGGAUACACUUUAUUUGGGCAGAAGUCCAAAGUUGAAGAAACUUCCUUUCAAGUCAUCCAUUGUCAAUAAUAAAUUCAAACACGUGGUGGUUGACCAAGACUUGUGGGAGAGUUUGGAAUGGGAGGACACAAUAAUCCAAUCUCACCUCAACGAGUUCCACAAGACAUAUUAGGGAAGGGAUGACGAGGGAGGAGGCUGUGUUCUUCAAGGAAUGCAAGGAUAAAGCUAUCGAGGAUUUCACUGUUGGUGCUUGUGCUUCUUCGGUCGUUGCCUGGAUUGCAUCUAGAAGCUUGGUUCCUUGUCAUAGGUUUAGCCUUUCAGCCGAGUCUGGUAUGCUGGCAGGAAUGUGGAGGUUUAAUCAUUCAUUGGAUGCUUGCGUGGAUAAAAUUCUACAGCGUGAUUGGGAUCGCAUGAAGUUUGAUGCACAGGAGGUUGACUCCAUCAACAGGUAUGGCACCGUUGUGAGAAGAAGUGUGCGCCCAAAUCAUGGAAGGAGACCCAACUUUUAUGAAGACUAUGUGAUGGGAUGAAUACAGGAUUUGUGGAAUGAUUAAUUACUUAGUAUUGAUGAAUGAUGUAAUUAGGAAAGAGAGAUUAAUUGAGAAGGUUGUGAUA
RNA transcript from Dioscorea cayenensis subsp. rotundata (Guinea yam), 2334 nucleotides. RefSeq lists it as uncharacterized. The record is from RefSeq and is a predicted model, not a curated record. Lineage: Eukaryota; Viridiplantae; Streptophyta; Magnoliopsida; Dioscoreales; Dioscoreaceae. The transcript has 4 exons.